RNAcentral lists this ribosomal RNA (322 nucleotides) under uncultured eukaryote. RNAcentral's name for it is "partial 18S ribosomal RNA". It matches the Rfam family "Eukaryotic small subunit ribosomal RNA", at positions 1470 to 1796 of the family's 1831-position model. The record is from RNAcentral.
CCCUUAGAUGUUCUGGGCCGCACGCGUGCUACACUGAGUGGAUCAGCGGGUCAGGUUGCGCGAAAGCGUUUCCUAAUCUUUAAAUCCGCUCGUGAUGGGGAUUGACGGUUGCAAUUUUCUGUCAUGAACGAGGAAUACCUUGUAAGCGCGGGUCAUCAUCCCGCGCUGAAUACGUCCCUGCCCUUUGUACACACCGCCCGUCGCUCCUACCGAUUGAGUGGUCCGGUGAGGCUUUGGGAUCUGAGCGGAAAGAGCGUUUCGCUGUUUCUGCUCGGAAAACUCAGUCGAACCUUAUCAUUUAGAGGAAGGAGAAGUCGUAUCA